Molecule: ribosomal RNA, 651 nt
Filed under: uncultured bacterium
Lineage: Bacteria
Description: bacterial SSU rRNA
Rfam family: Bacterial small subunit ribosomal RNA (bases 1-543)
Source: RNAcentral
CCUACGGGAGGCAGCAGUAAGGAAUAUUGGUCAAUGGAGGCAACUCUGAACCAGCCAUGCCGCGUGCAGGAAGACAGCCCUCUGGGUCGUAAACUGCUUUUAUUCGGGAAUAAACCUUAUUACGUGUAAUAAGCUGAAUGUACCGAAGGAAUAAGGAUCGGCUAACUCCGUGCCAGCAGCCGCGGUAAUACGGAGGAUCCAAGCGUUAUCCGGAUUUAUUGGGUUUAAAGGGUGCGUAGGCGGCUUAUUAAGUCAGGGGUGAAAGACGGUGGCUCAACCAUCGCAGUGCCUUUGAUACUGAUGAGCUUGAAUGAACUAGAGGUAGGCGGAAUGUGACAAGUAGCGGUGAAAUGCAUAGAUAUGUCACAGAACACCGAUUGCGAAGGCAGCUUACUAUGGUUUUAUUGACGCUGAGGCACGAAAGCGUGGGGAUCAAACAGGAUUAGAUACCCUGGUAGUCCACGCCCUAAACGAUGAAUACUCGCUGUUAGUCGAUAUACUAGUAGCGGCGUAAGACGAAAGACGUAAGUUAAGUUACCUACCGUACGGGAGGUAACGGUCCGCCGAAGGGUUAGGUAAACGUUAAAAGGUUAAAGUUAAGUUACGGCGUUGAGACGAGCCGAACGGACGACGACGAGGGGAAGGAGGGAG